ACGUAGGGGGCAAGCGUUGUCCGGAUUUACUGGGUGUAAAGGGUGCUCAGGUGGAUUUGUUAGUCGGAGGUGAAACUCCGGAGCUUAACUCCGGAACUGCCUCCGAAACAGCAAGUCUUGAGUUUGGUAGAGGAUGAUGGAAUAUCUGGUGUAGCAGUGAAAUGCGUAGAUAUCAGAUAGAACACCAAUGGCGAAGGCAGUCAUCUGGCCAUAACUGACACUAAAGCACGAAAGCGUGGGGAUCAA
This 246-nucleotide ribosomal RNA is filed under the name uncultured bacterium. Its description in RNAcentral is "partial 16S ribosomal RNA". It matches the Rfam family "Bacterial small subunit ribosomal RNA", at positions 525 to 771 of the family's 1533-position model. The record is from RNAcentral.